RNAcentral lists this ribosomal RNA (497 nucleotides) under uncultured bacterium. RNAcentral describes it as "partial 16S ribosomal RNA". It matches the Rfam family "Bacterial small subunit ribosomal RNA", at positions 28 to 507 of the family's 1533-position model. The record is from RNAcentral.
GACGAACGCUGGCGGCGUGCCUAAUACAUGCAAGUUGAGCGCUGAAGGUUGGUACUUGUACCAACUGGAUGAGCAGCGAACGGGAGAGUAACGCGUGGGGAAUCUGCCUUUGAGCGGGGGACAACAUUUGGAAACGAAUGCUAAUACCGCAUAAAAACUUUAAACACAAGUUUUAAGUUUGAAAGAUGCAAUUGCAUCACUCAAAGAUGAUCCCGCGUUGUAUUAGCUAGUUGGUGAGGUAAAGGCUCACCAAGGCGAUGAUACAUAGCCGACCUGAGAGGGUGAUCGGCCACAUUGGGACUGAGACACGGCCCAAACUCCUACGGGAGGCAGCAGUAGGGAAUCUUCGGCAAUGGACGAAAGUCUGACCGAGCAACGCCGCGUGAGUGAAGAAGGUUUUCGGAUCGUAAAACUCUGUUGGUAGAGAAGAACGUUGGUGAGAGUGGAAAGCUCAUCAAGUGACGGUAACUACCCAGAAAGGGACGGCUAACUACGUG